This 253-nucleotide ribosomal RNA is filed under the name uncultured bacterium. Its description in RNAcentral is "partial 16S ribosomal RNA". It matches the Rfam family "Bacterial small subunit ribosomal RNA", at positions 524 to 776 of the family's 1533-position model. The record is from RNAcentral.
GACAGAGGGGGCAAGCGUUGUCCGGAGUUACUGGGCGUAAAGGGCGCGGAGGCGGUCUGCGGCGUCGGCGCUGAAAGCGCCCCGCUUAACGGGGCGAGGCGUGCCGAUACGCGCAGACUUGAGGCGAGCAGAGGGUGGUGGAAUUCCGGGUGGAGCGGUGAAAUGCGUAGAGAUCCGGAGGAACGCCAGUGGGGAAGCCGGCCACCUGGGCUCGUCCUGACGCUGCGGCGCGGACGCGUGGGGAGCAAACCGG